UGUUGUAGCUCAGCGGUAGAGCACUUCCUUGGUAAGGAAGAGGUCACGAGUUCAAGUCUCGUCAAC
RNAcentral lists this transfer RNA (66 nucleotides) under chicken gut metagenome. It matches the Rfam family "tRNA". From Rfam's summary of the family: Transfer RNA (tRNA) molecules are approximately 80 nucleotides in length. The record is from RNAcentral.